CCCAGACAGCCAGGAUGUUGGCUUAGAAGCAGCCAUCAUUUAAAGAAAGCGUAAUAGCUCACUGGUCGAGUCGGCCUGCGCGGAAGAUGUAACGGGGCUAAACCAUGCACCGAAGCUGCGGCAGCGACACUGUGUGUUGUUGGGUAGGGGAGCGUUCUGUAAGCCUGUGAAGGUGGCCUGUGAGGGUUGCUGGAGGUAUCAGAAGUGCGAAUGCUGACAUAAGUAACGAUAAAGCGGGUGAAAAGCCCGCUCGCCGGAAGACCAA
RNAcentral lists this ribosomal RNA (265 nucleotides) under Salmonella enterica subsp. enterica serovar Muenchen. RNAcentral's name for it is "partial 23S ribosomal RNA". It matches the Rfam family "Bacterial large subunit ribosomal RNA", at positions 1084 to 1348 of the family's 2925-position model. RNAcentral also lists the same sequence under 14 other names. The record is from RNAcentral. Lineage: Bacteria; Pseudomonadati; Pseudomonadota; Gammaproteobacteria; Enterobacterales; Enterobacteriaceae.